UACGUAGGGAGCGAGCGUUGUCCGGAAUUACUGGGUGUAAAGGGAGCGCAGGCGGGAAGUCAAGUCCAGUGUCAAAACUAUCGGCUCAACCGGUAAGCGCGCUGGAAACUGGCAUUCUUGAGUGAAGUAGAGGCAGGCGGAAUUCCUAGUGUAGCGGUGAAAUGCGUAGAUAUUAGGAGGAACACCAGUGGCGAAGGCGGCCUGCUGGGCUUUUACUGACGCUGAGGCUCGAAAGUGUGGGGAGCAAACAGGAUUAGAUACCCUGGUAGUCCACACUGUAAACGAUGAUUACUAGGUGUGGGGGGACUGACCCCUUCCGUGCCGGAGUAAACACAAUAAGUAAUCCACCUGGGGAGUACGGCCGCAAGGUUGAA
This 374-nucleotide ribosomal RNA is filed under the name uncultured bacterium. Its description in RNAcentral is "bacterial SSU rRNA". It matches the Rfam family "Bacterial small subunit ribosomal RNA", at positions 524 to 898 of the family's 1533-position model. The record is from RNAcentral.